GACGAACGCUGGCGGCGUGGAUUAGGCAUGCAAGUCGAACGGUAUCAUCCUUUCGGGGGUGAGAGAGUGGCGAACUGGUGAGUAACACGUAGGUUAUCUACCCUCAAGACGGGGACAACCCAGGGAAACUUGGGCUAAUACCGGAUGUGAGCAACUUUUAGUUGUUUGAAAGGUGGCGUAAGCUGUCGCUUGGGGAUGAGCCUGCGUCCUAUUAGUUAGUUGGUGAGGUAACGGCUCACCUAGGCAAUGAUAGGUAGGCGGCCUUAACGGGUGGUCGCCCACACUGGGAUUGAGAUACGGCCCAGACUCCUACGGGAGGCAGCAGUCGAGAAUAGUCUACAAUGGUCGGAAGACUGAUAGUGCGACGCCGCGUGAACGAUGAAUCCCUUCGGGGUGUAAAGUUCUUUUAUAUGUGAGCAGUGCUUCUUAUAUUAACAGUAUGGGGAAGAGAUAUUAGCAUAUGAAUAAGCAACGGCUAAACUCCGUGCCCAGCAGCCGCGGUAAU
This 505-nucleotide ribosomal RNA is filed under the name uncultured bacterium. RNAcentral describes it as "bacterial SSU rRNA". It matches the Rfam family "Bacterial small subunit ribosomal RNA", at positions 28 to 524 of the family's 1533-position model. The record is from RNAcentral.